RNAcentral lists this ribosomal RNA (253 nucleotides) under uncultured bacterium. RNAcentral's name for it is "partial 16S ribosomal RNA". It matches the Rfam family "Bacterial small subunit ribosomal RNA", at positions 524 to 776 of the family's 1533-position model. The record is from RNAcentral.
UACGUAGGGGGCAAGCGUUAUCCGGAUUCACUGGGUGUAAAGGGAGCGUAGACGGCCAUGCAAGCCUGGAGUGAAAGCCCGGGGCCCAACCCCGGGACUGCUCUGGGAACUGUGCGGCUGGAGUGCGGGAGGGGCAGGCGGAAUUCCUGGUGUAGCGGUGAAAUGCGUAGAUAUCAGGAGGAACACCGGCGGCGAAGGCGGCCUGCUGGACCGCGACUGACGUUGAGGCUCGAAAGCGUGGGAAGCAAACAGG